RNAcentral lists this ribosomal RNA (234 nucleotides) under uncultured bacterium. RNAcentral's name for it is "partial 16S ribosomal RNA". It matches the Rfam family "Bacterial small subunit ribosomal RNA", at positions 118 to 351 of the family's 1533-position model. The record is from RNAcentral.
UGGGUGACCUGCCCUUCACUCUGGGAUAAGCCUGGGAAACUGGGUCUAAUACCGGAUAUGACUCCUCAUCGCAUGGUGGGGGGUGGAAAGCUUUAUUGUGGUUUUGGAUGGACUCGCGGCCUAUCAGCUUGUUGGUGAGGUAAUGGCUCACCAAGGCGACGACGGGUAGCCGGCCUGAGAGGGCGACCGGCCACACUGGGACUGAGACACGGCCCAGACUCCUACGGGAGGCAG